Long non-coding RNA from Columba livia (rock pigeon), 2052 nucleotides. RefSeq lists it as uncharacterized. NCBI's taxonomy places the organism in Eukaryota, Metazoa, Chordata, Aves, Columbiformes, Columbidae. The transcript is spliced from 3 exons. The record is from RefSeq and is a predicted model, not a curated record.
CCUCGUAGGCGCCACAAAGAAGGGGGUUAUCACUGGAGCCACAGGGAUCAGCCCGGAGCCUGUUGGAGCUGCCCUCGCCCAAAGUGGAGCUGCCCUCGCCCAAAGUGGAGCGCUCCACGCCGGCUGUGUGGUAGCGGACCGGUCGGGGGGCGGGGUAUAGGGAGAACCCUCCCAGCUCUCUUAGUCUCCAUUGGACAGAGCGGGCGCUCGGGGCGGGGCGAGCGCGCAGAGCUUGGGGUCUAUUGGCCAGCGCCGGGCAGCAGUGUGAGGGCGGGGCCGGGCGGGUGCGAGGGCGCCGACAGCAGCGACCAGGUAAGCUGCCGGGGCAGCGGCGCCCGACGGUUCUCCCGGCUCUGGUUCUUCGGGCUUCCCCGGAGUCAAUGUCCCAGCGGGGCAGGGGCGCAUGAGGUGCGGGCUGGGCCAUCCCUCCGCCGGCAGCGAGGCCCUACCGCAAGCCCGCCUCAGGCUUCCUCAGGCCGCCCGCCGCCUAUCACCUGUCACCGUCCGAUCUGCGCCUCAUCUGCGGUGCGGCCGCCCCGCGGCACGGGACACCCGCCUCCACCCAGCCGUGGCUGGCUCAGCCAUCUGCAGGACGGGGACGGUGACACCGGGCCGAGAGACAGCAGUCCUGUGUGUGUGUGGAGACAAGCGGCAUCUCUGAGUACCUCGGGGAGCAGCAGACGUGGACGCUUUGUUUGGUGCCCCCCUUCGCGUAGCCUGGACCGUCACCCUGCUCUGCUUCAUUUGUUCAGCUCUGCAAGAACGUGAUUUCUCCCAGGUUUCACCCCCUUUUUCCCAGGCCAACUCUUGAGGUUUUGAUGAAGCUGCCUUCCAGCCUUUAGGGACAAUGGUCUGAAGUGGACAUGUGAGGAAGAGGAAGGCCCAGGACUUCAGGGAGCCUUUCUCAGGCCACAGGAGACCUCAGCCCAGGAACCUUAGGCCACCCCCAAGCUAAUUCUUGGCUUCUGAAGCUGCUUCCCUUGAGAAAGCCACAACCACACCCUGGACCAAAGAGUGAUCAUUAGCAGGAGAAGCACACCAGCUUCAGAAGGAACCGACCGUAGCGGCUUUCCUUCCAGCUUCCUUUUUCCUUCCAUCUGCAUCUGCACCUUCACCAGGCUAGUCAAGCCAUGAAGAAAAGACAGAUUUUAUGGCUUCAGGACUCCUACAGUAAAGACAGUCCCCAAACAGGCAAAAGCAUAAAUACACAACAUUACCACAAAGGAAAGCUUUCAUCCUCAGCCCUGCCAAGCACGGAGUCACGGAGAUGUUCAUACACAACCAUCCGAACGCCAGAGUACACUGUGGAAAACAAAAGCAGGAGAUGAUUCUUGGAUCUAUCAUUUCUGGAGGUCACACUGUGAUAGAUCAAGAGAUUGGUUAGAAAACACUCCGGAGCUUGCCUAGGCCAGCUGGUCCCUGCUCUGACGUUUGUGAUCAAAAUGGGGACAGUGAGGGGGCUGCCUGGUAGCAUGGCCAGAGCUAAAACUUUCAGCAUCAGAGAAUCUCUCCAUCUGAGCCAGGAGGCAGCACAGCUUAUGCCCACACGCUAAGGAGAUGUGACCGCAUUGCUUCCCUCCUGCCCGGUGCCAAGCACAAAACCUCCCACAAGUGCUUUUGAGGUUUGUUGCUGUCACCCUAUUUCCAAAUAAAGCACAGAAAGCUGUUACUUGUGGCCAAACCGUUAAUGCAUUUCUUCAUUCUAGUGCUUGCAACCUUAUCUUUCUGUUUUUUCCCAGCCCAUCCCCACUUCCCUUAAAUAAAAUAUAUUUAUUGUUCUGAGGAUUCUGUGCCUGCAUGCGCUGAAGACCUUCCUGCAGAGACCACAGGGAAAUUAUAUUUUGUGGUCCCAGAAGCCAGAUUAAGGGCAAGAGAGGAUAUUGAGCCAGAAUCCCAUAUAUUUAAAAGUGGGAUUGCAGGGUGGACUGAAAAAUCCUCACAGAUAUAUUUAAAGUCCAAGAACAUAUGGCAAGCUCACUUCAAAAGGCUGUUGGCCACAGAAGGCAGGACCCAAACUUGUGCCGUCAUGAGCGGAUAAUCACCUAUGUGGCG